This 347-nucleotide ribosomal RNA is filed under the name uncultured bacterium. Its description in RNAcentral is "partial 16S ribosomal RNA". It matches the Rfam family "Bacterial small subunit ribosomal RNA", at positions 338 to 682 of the family's 1533-position model. The record is from RNAcentral.
CCUACGGGAGGCAGCAGUGAGGAAUAUUGGUCAAUGGACGAGAGUCUGAACCAGCCAAGUAGCGUGAAGGAUGACUGCCCUAUGGGUUGUAAACUUCUUUUAUAAGGGAAUAAAACAGGGUAGGCAUACGCUCUUGUAUGGACCAUAUGAAUAAGGAUCGGCUAACGCCGUGCCAGCAGCCGCGGUAAUACGGAGGAUCCGGUCGUUAUCCGGAUUUAUUGGGUUUAAAGGGAGCGUAGGUGGAUUGUUAAGUCAGUUGUGAAAGUUUGCGGCUCAACCGUAAAAUUGCAGUUGAAACUGGCAGUCUUGAGUACAGUAGAGGUGUGCGGAAUUCGUGGUGUAGCGGU